This 451-nucleotide ribosomal RNA is filed under the name uncultured bacterium. Its description in RNAcentral is "bacterial SSU rRNA". It matches the Rfam family "Bacterial small subunit ribosomal RNA", at positions 29 to 506 of the family's 1533-position model. The record is from RNAcentral.
ACGAACGCUGGCGGUGUGCCUCAUACAUGCAAGUCGAACGGGGUAGCAAUACCUAGUGGCGGACGGGUGAGUAACGCGUGGGAAUCUGCCUUUGGGUGGGGGAUAGCAGGCCGAAAGGCCUAUUAAUACCGCAUAUGUAUAUAUCUCGACAGGGAUAUAUAUAAAAGGAGCAAUCCGCCUAAAGAUGAGCCCGCGUCCGAUUAGCUAGUUGGUAGGGUAAAAGCCUACCAAGGCAACGAUCGGUAGGUGGUCUAAGAGGAUGAUCACCCACAAUGGGACUGAGAUACGGCCCAUACUCCUACGGGAGGCAGCAGUAGGGAAUUUUACGCAAUGGGCGAAAGCCUGACGUAGCGACACCGCGUGAGCGAAGAAGCCCUUUGGGGUGUAAAGCUCUGUCAGCUGGAACGAAAAAAAUGACGGUACCAGCAGAGGAAGCAUCGGCUAACUACGU